RNAcentral lists this ribosomal RNA (468 nucleotides) under uncultured bacterium. Its description in RNAcentral is "partial 16S ribosomal RNA". It matches the Rfam family "Bacterial small subunit ribosomal RNA", at positions 28 to 507 of the family's 1533-position model. The record is from RNAcentral.
GACGAACGCUGGCGGCGUGCUUAACACAUGCAAGUCGAACGGAAAGGCCCUGCUUUUGUGGUGUGCUCGAGUGGCGAACGGGUGAGUAACACGUGAGUAACCUGCCCUUGACUUUGGGAUAACUACAGGAAACUGGGGCUAAUACCGGAUAGGAGCUCCCGCUGCAUGGUGGGGGUUGGAAAGUUUCGGCGGUUGGGGAUGGACUCGCGGCUUAUCAGCUUGUUGGUGGGGUAGUGGCUUACCAAGGCUUUGACGGGUAGCCGGCCUGAGAGGGUGACCGGCCACAUUGGGACUGAGAGACGGCCCAGACUCCUACGGGAGGCAGCAGGGGGGAAUAUUGCACAAUGGGCGGAAGCCUGAUGCAGCAACGCCGCGUGAGGGAUGACGGCCUUCGGGUUGUAAACCGCUUUCGGCUGUGACGAAGCGUGAGUGACGGUAAUGGGUAAAGAAGCACCGGCUAACUACGUG